GUCAUUUCUCUUUUAUUUGUAUUUUUCCCACAAAAUAUCUGCUAUCUCCCUGAUGCUUUCUCAUUAUCUAUGCCCAAUAUUAUCUCCUCCACCCAAAUCUGCCUCCUUUCUAAGCAUAGAAAAAUGUCCUUUUAAUUUUUCACAGUGUCUUCCCAAUGUGUCAUUCCCUCAUCAACUUCAACAUGAAAUAUUAAAAUGUGAUAAGGUAAACAUAUGUGACAUUUGUAUAAGCGCGUGUUCAAAAUGCGUCCUCAGUUAAAAUGUCACCUUUCGCUAGCCUCCUGCCUGCCUCCCAAAUCUCUCUCUCUUAGCUUUUCUCAUCCCUGCAGCCUCAUCUCCUGCUGCCCUGUACCCUUUCCUUUCUGCUCACUGAAGUCCUCUCCAUCCUUCAAUGCACAUUUCCAAAACCUACUGUCAUGAAUUUUCCCUUGACCAUUUUCCUCAAAAGCUCCUAUUUAGUCUUUGGACUGUUACCUGAACUUGUCAAGUAUACAUUUAGCCUUUGAAUUAUUACCUAAUCUUGUUACCUAACAAUUCACUUGUUUGUGUCCUGUUUCUCUCAAUCCUAUAGGACCUCUUACUUUUUGCUUACAGCAUCUAGCCACAGAGUUGAGUGUGCAGUGUAGUAGAAGGACCCUGGUUUGAAUCCUGACUUGUCUGCUUCCUAACUGUUUGAUUUUGGACCAGUUAUCUAAGCAAUCUGAGUCUAUCCUAUUACCUGUAAUAUGAGGAUAUCCACACUUAUCUGGCAGGGGAAUGACAGAGACAGUUAAAUGAGAUAAUGUCUGUAAAGUACCUCACACAUAAGAAGUACACAAAAAUCGUAGCUCUUACUAUAAUGAUCAUAGAUUCCCAUUAACCGCUGUUCAUUUGAUAUUUUUGACUUAGACCAAAGCAGUAACUCCAAAAUUCAUAAUCCCAGGAUAGGAUAUUAGAGGAAAUCUCUUUGCAUAGGAUCGCAUUCUAGGAACACUCAAUACUUUAUGGAGUUCAUCUUCCUCUAGAUGAAGAAAAGAUUGCUUUGUGACAAAUGUUCUAGAGGCUGGGCAGUCCAACAUGAAGGUGCCAGCAGAAAUAUGGAAAGAGAUUUAUGAUGAGGAUUGUCCCACAUGAUUAUGGAGGCUGAGAAGUUGCACAAUCUGCCAUCUGCUAGCUGGAGUCCAGGAAAGAUGGUGGUGUGGUUCUAGUCCAAGCCUGAAAUCCUGAGAACCAAGGAACCCAGUAGUUUAAGCCCCAGUCUGAGGCCCAAGGCCCUAGAACCAGGACUGUUGAUUUUCAAGGACAGAAGAUGGAUGUCUCAGCUCAAGCAGAGAGAGCGAAUUAGCCCAUCCUCUACCGUUUUUGUUCUACUCAGAUCUUCAACGGAUUGGACAACGCCCACCCAUAUUGAUGAGGGCAUCUUCUUUAUUCAGUCUACCAAUUUAAAUGCCCACCCCCUACCCCGUACCUAGGUCAGUCACCACUAUCACUUGCCUCUCUGCUGCACUUUUAUUGGUCUCCCUGCUUCCACUGUGGUCUGUGACUUCUCUCUACCAUUAGUGUGCUGGCAAACCAGGUCACAAAUAAUAAUAAUAAUAAACAAGUAAAAAGUAAAAUUAAAAACCUCAUUUGCAGUGUUUGUCAGUUUCAGUGAUGUAAAUACUCCCACUGUGGCUACCAGUGUGAUGUCGCUGAGCAUGGAGCUGGGAAAAGAUGUGUUUGGUGGGUCUGAAGAGCCUAUACCAGUGGGACCCCACAUCCCUGGCAGGUGGAGCAGCUCACCUCUCCCUUCAUGUAAUAUCAGUUUCGUCUCAUGAGACGUGACCGUAGACAAACUCUGUCAGCCACUUCUUAACUGGUGCUUUUCUUCUGCUCAGGUUUUUAAGACAAAAGAAAGACAUCUGGCCAACAGGAGGCAGAAAAACCAGCAUGAGAAAUAUCACAUUGUUACUUAACAUUAUUUUGAGAAGAAAAUAAAUAAAAUUUUGUUAGAAAAUCCUUUUGACUGAUUUCAUUCACUUGCAGUUCUGAAUAUUUCAUCUCACUGCCUUAUAAAUAAGAACAAAUUAAUUGAUUAGGACCCAACACAAUGCCUC
Molecule: long non-coding RNA, 2075 nt
Organism: Equus caballus (horse)
Lineage: Eukaryota; Metazoa; Chordata; Mammalia; Perissodactyla; Equidae
Source: Ensembl